This 415-nucleotide ribosomal RNA is filed under the name uncultured prokaryote. Its description in RNAcentral is "bacterial SSU rRNA". It matches the Rfam family "Bacterial small subunit ribosomal RNA", at positions 355 to 774 of the family's 1533-position model. The record is from RNAcentral.
UGAGGAAUUUUGCGCAAUGGGGGAAACCCUGACGCAGCAACGCCGCGUGGGUGAUGAAGGCCUUCGGGUCGUAAAGCCCUGUCGGGCGGGAAGAACGUCCCUUCGGGGAAUGACGGUACCGCCAGAGGAAGCACCGGCUAACUCCGUGCCAGCAGCCGCGGUAAUAAGGAGGGUGCAAGCGUUAUUCGGACUUACUGGGCGUACAGGGCGUGCAGGCGGGAGAGCAAGUCUGAUGUGAAAGCCCGGGGCUUAACCCCGGAAGUGCAUUGGAAACUGCUUUUCUUGAGUUCUGGAGAGGAAGGGAGAAUUCCCGGUGUAGAGGUGAAAUUCGUAGAGAUCGGGAGGAACAUCAGUGGCGAAGGCGCCCUUCUGGACAGCAACUGACGCUGAGACACGAAAGCGUGGGGAGCAAACA